RNAcentral lists this ribosomal RNA (506 nucleotides) under uncultured bacterium. Its description in RNAcentral is "partial 16S ribosomal RNA". It matches the Rfam family "Bacterial small subunit ribosomal RNA", at positions 30 to 523 of the family's 1533-position model. The record is from RNAcentral.
AUUGAACGCUGGCGGCAGGCCUAACACAUGCAAGUCGAACGGUAACAGGAAACAGCUUGCUGUUUCGCUGACGAGUGGCGGACGGGUGAGUAAUGUCUGGGAAACUGCCUGAUGGAGGGGGAUAACUACUGGAAACGGUAGCUAAUACCGCAUAACGUCGCAAGACCAAAGAGGGGGACAUUCGGGCCUCUUGCCAUCGGAUGUGCCCAGAUGGGAUUAGCUAGUAGGUGGGGUAACGGCUCACCUAGGCGACGAUCCCUAGCUGGUCUGAGAGGAUGACCAGCUACACUGGAACUGAGACACGGUCCAGACUCCUACGGGAGGCAGCAGUGGGGAAUAUUGCACAAUGGGCGCAAGCCUGAUGCAGCCAUGCCGCGUGUAUGAAGAAGGCCUUCGGGUUGUAAAGUACUUUCAGCGGGGAGGAAGGGAGUAAAGUUAAUACCUUUGCUCAUUGACGUUACCCGCAGAAGAAGCACCGGCUAACUCCGUGCCAGCCGCCGCUGUAA